This 383-nucleotide unclassified non-coding RNA is filed under the name fungal sp. RNAcentral's name for it is "partial internal transcribed spacer region". The stretch from base 1 to 46 matches the Rfam family "Eukaryotic small subunit ribosomal RNA", at positions 1786 to 1831 of the family's 1831-position model. Lineage: Eukaryota; Fungi. The record is from RNAcentral.
AAGUCGUAACAAGGUUUCCGUAGGUGAACCUGCGGAAGGAUCAUUAACACGUGAUACUCACGUAUUAACCAAACGCGAAUUGUUGUUAAGCCUGCUACUGGAUAAUGAGCCGUACUGUUUGGGAAGGGUAUGACUUCGGUCUAACUUACAGUCUUAGCGUACUCGAUACGUAGUUCAUUUCCGUAACAGUAGAUGAAUUUCGGCUGCUUAUUAAGCGCGUACCUUCGCUUGCAGUCGGAGUGAAAACAAAUUCUAACCCCUUAUUUACUUAAUCUGAUUUUGUACGUUUAUAUCAAUUCCUGGCUUAACUGUCGGUUGAGUUUGUAUAGAUGUCGUAUAUUACUAAUACGAAACAACUCUUAGCAACGGAUAUCUUGGUUCUC